UACGAAGGGGGCUAGCGUUGCUCGGAAUCACUGGGCGUAAAGCGCACGUAGGCGGCUUCUUAAGUCAGGGGUGAAAUCCUGGAGCUCAACUCCAGAACUGCCUUUGAUACUGAGAAGCUUGAGUCCGGGAGAGGUGAGUGGAACUGCGAGUGUAGAGUUGAAAUUCGUAGAUAUUCGCAAGAACACCAGUGGCGAAGGCGGCUCACUGGCCCGGUACUGACGCUGAGGUGCGAAAGCGUGGGGAGCAAACAGG
Molecule: ribosomal RNA, 253 nt
Filed under: uncultured bacterium
Lineage: Bacteria
Description: partial 16S ribosomal RNA
Rfam family: Bacterial small subunit ribosomal RNA
Source: RNAcentral